CCUACGGGAGGCAGCAGUGGGGAAUAUUGCGCAAUGGGCGAAAGCCUGACGCAGCGACGCCGCGUGAGGGAUGAAGGUCUUCGGAUCGUAAACCUCUGUCAGCAGGGAAGAACGGUCACUGUGCUAAUCAGCAGUGAAUUGACGGUACCUGCAAAGGAAGCACCGGCUAACUCCGUGCCAGCAGCCGCGGUAAUACGGAGGGUGCGAGCGUUAAUCGGAAUUACUGGGCGUAAAGCGCUCGUAGGCGGUAUGUCAAGUCAAGGGUGAAAGCCCCGCGCUCAACGUGGGAACUGCCUUUGAAACUGGCAAACUGGAGUGUGUGAGAGGAUAGUGGAAUGCCAGGUGUAGGAGUGAAAUCCGUAGAUAUCUGGAGGAACAUCAGUGGCGUAGGCGACUAUCUGGCACAUAACUGACGCUGAGGAGCGAAAGCGUGGGUAGCAAACAGGAUUAGAUACCCGAGUAGUC
Molecule: ribosomal RNA, 465 nt
Filed under: uncultured bacterium
Lineage: Bacteria
Description: partial 16S ribosomal RNA
Rfam family: Bacterial small subunit ribosomal RNA
Source: RNAcentral